GAUGAACGCUGGCUACAGGCUUAACACAUGCAAGUCGAGGGGAAACGACGGGGAAGCUUGCUUCCCCGGGCGUCGACCGGCGCACGGGUGAGUAACGCGUAUCCAACCUACCUCUGACUGAGGGAUAACCCGUCGAAAGUCGGCCUAAUACCUCAUGGCAUCGUCUGCGGGCAUCCAACGACGAUUAAAGAUUUCAUCGGUCAGGGAUGGGGAUGCGUCUGAUUAGCUUGUUGGCGGGGUAACGGCCCACCAAGGCGACGAUCAGUAGGGGUUCUGAGAGGAAGGUCCCCCACAUUGGAACUGAGACACGGUCCAAACUCCUACGGGAGGCAGCAGUGAGGAAUAUUGGUCAAUGGGCGAGAGCCUGAACCAGCCAAGUAGCGUGCAGGAAGACGGCCCUAUGGGUUGUAAACUGCUUUUAUGCGGGGAUAAAGUGAAGGACGUGUCCAUCAUUGCAGGUACCGCAUGAAUAAGGACCGGCUAAUUCCGUGCCAGCAGCCGCGGUAAUACGGAAGGUCCGGGCGUUAUCCGGAUUUAUUGGGUUUAAAGGGAGCGUAGGCCGUGGAUUAAGCGUGUUGUGAAAUGCAGGUGCUCAACGUCUGCACUGCAGCGCGAACUGGUCCACUUGAGUGUGCGCAACGCAGGCGGAAUUCGUCGUGUAGCGGUGAAAUGCUUAGAUAUGACGAAGAACUCCGAUUGCGAAGGCAGCUUGCGGGAGCACAACUGACGCUGAAGCUCGAAAGUGCGGGUAUCGAACAGG
Molecule: ribosomal RNA, 760 nt
Filed under: uncultured Prevotella sp.
Lineage: Bacteria; Pseudomonadati; Bacteroidota; Bacteroidia; Bacteroidales; Prevotellaceae
Description: bacterial SSU rRNA
Rfam family: Bacterial small subunit ribosomal RNA
Source: RNAcentral